UUACAGUCCCCAGCAGAUGGUGAGGAACUCCCUUUUGAUCAUGGAGGGGGACCUUGUUGGUGAGGACAUCAAGACCAUAGUAGACCUGCAUGGAAUCAGCGUUGAUGAUUUCAAUGGGGAAGUGGGAUGCUAAAUCAAUGGCCAGUUUGGAUUUGCCUGAACCAGUGGGACCCAUUAUGACCACCACCUUCGGCUUCUCUUCUUCUUCCUUCUCCAUCGUCGCCCUUCUUCCUCCAUCGAUAGGUUUUGGCAAGGCCACAUGAGGAUCACUGCCACUCUCCAUCUGCAAUUGUGCAGAGC
Molecule: unclassified non-coding RNA, 300 nt
Filed under: Hevea brasiliensis (rubber tree)
Lineage: Eukaryota; Viridiplantae; Streptophyta; Magnoliopsida; Malpighiales; Euphorbiaceae
Source: RNAcentral